UAGCUCAGUCGGUAGAGCAUGAGACUCUUAAUCUCAGGGUCAUGGGUUUGUGCCCCAC
Molecule: transfer RNA, 58 nt
Filed under: Cricetulus griseus (Chinese hamster)
Lineage: Eukaryota; Metazoa; Chordata; Mammalia; Rodentia; Cricetidae
Rfam family: tRNA
About the family: Transfer RNA (tRNA) molecules are approximately 80 nucleotides in length.
Source: Rfam by way of RNAcentral